UACGAAGGGUGCUAGCGUUGUUCGGAAUUACUGGGCGUAAAGCGCACGUAGGCGGUCUUUUAAGUCGGGGGUGAAAUCCUGGAGCUCAACUCCAGAACUGCCUUCGAUACUGGAAGACUUGAGUCCGGGAGAGGUGAGUGGAACUGCGAGUGUAGAGGUGAAAUUCGUAGAUAUUCGCAAGAACACCAGUGGCGAAGGCGGCUCACUGGCCCGGUACUGACGCUGAGGUGCGAAAGCGUGGGGAGCAAACAGG
RNAcentral lists this ribosomal RNA (253 nucleotides) under uncultured bacterium. RNAcentral's name for it is "partial 16S ribosomal RNA". It matches the Rfam family "Bacterial small subunit ribosomal RNA", at positions 524 to 776 of the family's 1533-position model. The record is from RNAcentral.